This is a non-coding RNA of Zootoca vivipara (common lizard), 8546 nucleotides long. NCBI's taxonomy places the organism in Eukaryota, Metazoa, Chordata, Lepidosauria, Squamata, Lacertidae. The record is from RefSeq and is a predicted model, not a curated record.
UGGGCCUUUUCUGCAAUGGCUCCCUGUUUUUGGAAUGCUCUUCCCAGGGAGGCUCAUCUGGCGACAUCAUUAUAUAUUUUUAGGCACCAGGCAAACUUUCCUCUGUAACCAGUCCUUUGACUCUCUAUGGCCUUUUAGAACUUGUUGGAGGCACAGAAAAACAAAGUUGCAGGACUGCAGCACCAACAGUACUUAGUCAUCUCAUAGACAAACAAUGUAUGCUACCACGGUAAGGAAUAUUUAUAUUUUCAUAUGUCCUUUUUGUUAAAGUCCUUUUUGUUAAAGUCACAUGGAUUUGAAAAAAGGGGCAGUAAAUCGGAUGAGGACAGGCAGUGUCAAAGAAGAUCCAUGCUUUAAAAAAAAUGUUAUCAUCAUCACAACAGAGGGAAGAAGCAGAAGGAAACUUACCUGGUUCCUGUGAUCCCAUUGAGAAUUUCUUUCUUUCUUUCUUUCUUUCUUUCUUUCUUUCUUUCUUUCUUUCUUUCUUUCUUUCCUUCUUUCCUUCUUUCCUUCUUUCCUUCUUUCCUUCUUUCCUUCUUUCCUUCUUUCCUUCUUUCUUUCUUCAGAACUGAUGCAAAACUGGGUAUCCACAGAUUAUGAGCACCAAAUCGAAGCAGUCCACAUGUCUAAAGCACACAGAGUGACCAGAGGAGGGCAAAUUCUUGAGAGUGAGCUCAGUUUAGUCAGUCUGGGAUUUUCAUAAGGAAGCAAAAGAAGGAAGUCCUCCUCUGACCGUAAAAAGUAAUAAUGGCAAUAAAAUCUCUGCCCCUUUCUCCUACCCACCCAUGUACAACUCUGGGUAUCUUUGCCUAUCCAAGGAAGAAGGUAUGUUAGAUGGACUUCUAGUUUUAGUACCACAAAGAAACCUUUCUAAAAAAUGUAGUGGACGUGGGGAGGGAAGGUUGGCACACAAUGCCAGAGUUUAGGGCUCAUCCACACUUACUUUUUGCUCCACUCUUUCCAGGCAGAAUCCCACAUUUUAACACUUUGUAUGAGCAAAAGCUUACAUGUUUGCGUAUCGGGCUGCAGUGCUAUUAAAUGUAAAAGAUCAGGGCCAGCUGAAAAUGUGGUCAUCCUAAAACUAGUCCAUCCUACGAUCGUGGAUAAUCUGAUAAGUUUGAGAAAGUAAGUAACCUGAAGAUGGUUCAUUAAUUUUCAGAGCCAGUUUGUGCUGCCUUUGAUUAAAUCUGAAAGUAUGCAAACACCCACAACCUCCUCUCUCUGUCUCUCUCCCCCCUCUCUCUCACACACAGACACACAGUUGCCACUUUUGCAACUGGGAUUCUAAUAGCUGCAUGAUGUCAUCAAGACCUCCAUCAAGUGCAGCUUUCAUACUUAUCCAGCUAAAUAUGCUGUUAGAUCACAGCAUUUAUCCCCAGCUGGCUUUCUCGUUUCCCAUCGAAGCUCUAACAACCCUAUUUGAAUUGCUCCUCCAUACACCCCACAGUCCAAUACAAACAAGAGCUGUGAGCUUUAUAACCUGACCUGGUUGUGCUUUAUGGAAUAGCUUCAAGGACACCUUGCCAUAAAUAUUUAGCAACUUGCAGAGUCCCCUGGAAACCUGCAUUUCCUGCUAACACAAACCACCCAGCCCACUUCCUGAGCUGUGCUAGCAUGUGUGAAACCGCACCACUCAGUCACACAACACAGAACCAAGCAUCACCUUCUGUUCCCUGCUCUACACUCCAAUGGCAAGAAACUGAGGCCAGCAUUGUAAAACCAAAGAUGCGCCAAUGAUCCUGUUUUUUAGUUAGUGUAUUCGGAAGAUUAUACAUUUGAUAGUUUGUCACACAUGCAUAUUGUUGCAGGCCACCCCAACCUCUGAGGGGUGUGAAAUUCCAGGGUCUGGCUUUCUUGAAAUGAGGGACAGCAGAGACUGUGGUGUUUUUAUGAUAUAUGGUUUAUUUACACAUAUAUACAAUCUGAGACCAUGCUCACAGCAUUAAUACCCCUAGAGGGUCUUGCUCAUAGGUUGGCAACGUCUGGCCCAUGGGCUGGAUGCAGCCCACAGAGGCUGUUUAUCUGGCUCACAAGCUGCCCGGUCACUGAGCCGCCCGCUCUGCAAGUCCACUGCGCACUGCACUAAACCGGCGCAGUGCAGCGUGGGGACUUGCCAAGUGGUGCCGGAAAUCACUUCUGCGCAUGCCCAGAUGCGAUUUUCGGGUUCCGGACAUGCGCAGAAGUGAUUUCCAGAGCCCCGGACAUGGGCAGUGCAGUGCCGGAAAUCGCUUCUGCGCAUGUCCGGUGCAUGUCCGGCCCACGGACGAUCGUCCAUGGGAAUGAUCCAGCCCAUGGCCAGAAAACGUUGCUGAUGCCUAGUCUUCCUUCUCCCAUAGCCUCAGCUUUGGAUUUUAGCAGAAAUCAAGCAUGGCUCUCUGGCUUCUGUCUGCUUCUAGCCCAGCUCACACACUUUCAACUCUGGCUAUUGUUGUUUGCACUACCAGCCAAAGGAGCAGAGGUAGAUUUAGGGCAGCACGACCUAGCUCAGUUGGUUAGAGCAUGGUACUCCUAAUGCCAGAGAAUGUCUAAGAUGGGGAUAAAGAACCUGUGGCCUUCAAGAAGUCACUGAACGCCAGCUCCCAUCACCCCUGCCCUUUAGUCACACUGGCUGGAGGCUGAUGGGAGUUGUAGUUCUCAGCAGGGUCACAGUGGUUUCCCACGCUAGUGUAGGAAGUGAGAUCCCCACCCCACCCCAUGCCCUAUGCUCCAGUGUUGAAACAGUGAACUGCUUCUGCAUUCUAAAACAAAAAUCCUUAUUCAGGUUCCUGUCAUCUUUAUUUAGCUACUUUCCACUGUGCAAUGAAUAAACUCCAAGAUUCUGCACGAUCUUUUGAGGAAGGGGGAGGGGGAGGAAGACUCUGUCGGUUUCAUCCAUCCCUUUGUGCUACUUGCUUUGCCGUCAUUUUUCUCUAUGUUUGAACUAUGCCUUGUAACUGUCAUCAAUAGGCCAAAUGCACAGGAAUAGUGGAAGGCAUCAGCUGGGGAAAACCCCAAGAGAAGAAGGCUCAGAGUGGUGGUGGGACGACGAUGAAGGAGAAGAGGGAGAAGACUGGGAGGAGAAGGCGUUGGAAGCUGAAGAGGCAACAGGAUUAAGUGAGAAGGGAGAGUCUGGGGCAGAGAGAAAUACAAAAUCAGAAAUGGAAGCAGGCGUGGAGGAAGGCCAAGAGGCAGAGAUGAGUCGGGCUGGUGAAGAAGCCAGGGUGUCGCCCCCUCCUGCUCCGAAAAGCUCCCCAUCCCCCAAGUCUCCCAGGACCAGGAGAGGCAUAAAGUGGGAGAAGCAAAGGCAGGCAUGCUGGUGUAGUCUCAGAUUGCUUGGGAAAAUCCCUGGAGAGGAGGGGACUUAGGCAGCUGUGGGAAGGGUGUGGGAGAUCUUUUGUCUCUGCCACAGCCUCAUGGGGCAAGACCUACUGAAAAAGAGUUGCUGUGCUCAUCUAUCAUUUGUCCUAGCAUUCCUGUGCAAAUUCUGUUUUUCUAAUAAAGAUUUAACUUCUCCAUUGAUCUGUCCUGAACCUUCCAACUUUCAGCUUCAUGUCCAUGAGUUAGUGUUAUGAGAGAGGGACAAAAAAUUCUUUAUCCUCUUUCCCCGUGACUCACAAAUUGUGCUAACUUUUAUCAUGUCACCUCUUACUUGUCUAUUCUCUAAACUGAAAAGCCCCAAAUGCUGCAAUUUCUCCUUGCAUAGGAGUUGUGCCAUCUGCUGGAAAAUUUUGGCUGCCUGCAUUUGGCUUUCACAUUUUUGCAAACCAGUCUUGCAGAGGGGCCCCCUCUUGUUGUGGUCCUCUUUCCCACAGAGGCGUGAGGGUAACACAAUGACACAAAUAGAAAUGCACAUGAAAAUGGAAUAUGAAUGUUCCGUAACGUAACCGGCCUUAGUGAAUGAAGUUUUCCUAUUGUUUUGAUCUUCGUGUGAUCAUUGCUUGCAUUUUGCAUUCUAUGGGUUUUGUAAACCACCCACAAAGCUUGGUUGGAAGGUAAAUCUGACAACAUAAAAUAGUGUUUUGUUUGGAAAAGAGGAAUUAUUUUGUUACAUGGAAGAUGGAGCAAGCUUUACUUCUGCUCCAGAGGCUACAAACCAAACCAAUGGCUUCAAGUUACAAGAAAGGAGAUUCCAACUGAGCAACAGGAAGAACUUUUUGACAGUAAGAGCUGUUCAACAGAGUGGAAUGCAGUCCCUCAGAAGGUGGUGGAAUUUCCUUCCUUGAAAGUUUCUAAGCAGAUUUGGAUGGCCAUCUGUCAUGUGCAAUUACGGUAGUUGAGAUUAUUGGAUUGCAGGGGUUUGGACUAGAUGACCCUCAGGUUCCUUUCCAAUUCUACAAUUCUACGAUUCCAGGAUCCUGCUCCUGUAACUUUUCAAGCAGCUUGAUUUGUGGACAUUUGGAGCUGAUGGCAUUUACCUCUGCACAAUUAAAAGCUUUACCUGGUUUAUUUUUGCCCAUCAAGCUGUUCACAGAAAGGACAGAGAGUUCACCGAGGAGGUGCUUUCCUCCCUGGCCAGCUGAUAACAUUUGUAGGUAGAAUAAGUCAUGUGAUUUCCAAGCUGAAGAACUGAGGGGUUUUAUGGUGUUUGUGUGGAAGAGGAAUGACCCAGAUUUCACCACACUUUGAGACACACAACUGCAUUAGUCAUCCAUGAACAAACCUCGUAUUCCUGGCACUCAUGUGUACUCACUUCAAUAGGAACAGCCGCUUCCUUGUUUGAAAGCAAACUUUCCCUGCCAUGCCGCUACUCUCCAUUAAGGAACCAGGCCAAAUUGAAAGCAAGCAGUCCCCAUAAUUAAAUCAUUAUCUCUGUACUUGUGUUUUUCCUGUUUGUGGAGAGAGAGAGAUUCCUGUAUGCAGAUAUAAGUGGGGAAACAUUUACCUAUUGAAUUUCUGCUUGUCUCACAGGUGUUAAAAGGCCCAGGCACAACCUUAAAAUGCAAGGAAUGAUUGAGAGACAGGGUGGUUAAAGAAGGGAGGAUGGAAUAGACACUGGGCUAGGAAAAUGGUGCGUUGUGGAGCUGGAGGGAAAAAAGGUUGAGUGGAGAUUGUGAGAUGUGCCCCAAAGGUUGCAUACGGUAGGUCCCAGUGACAGUGGGACUGGAAGGCUGUGUGCAAUAGGCUGGGAAGAAGUGGGUGAGCAAGGGAGCUUUUGAAGGCUGUGGACUAUGGGGCAGAAAGCAAAAAGAGAUUAUUACCAACUCUAGAUCCUAAAAUAGGGUUGCCAUCUUUCAAACAGUGAAAAUACGGACAGAAAAAUUGUUGAGCUUUAAAAUUGCAAUAAAAAUUGCAGUUUUUGAGCUAUAGUCGUUUGUACCUUGGAAGUUGAACAGAAUCUGUUCCAGAAGUCCGUUAAACUUCCAAAACGUUUGAAAACUCCAGUGUGGCUUCUGAUUGGCUGCAGGAAGCUCCUGCAGCCAAUCAGAAGCCACGGAAGCCCAAAAGUUUGGAAGCUUCCAAAAAUCGUUCGAAAACCAGAACACUCACUUCCGGGUUUUGAUCGUUUUGGAGCCAAUUUGUUCAGGAGCCGAGGCAUUCACGAUCCAAGGUAUGACUGUAUUUUUAUGGGAAAUUGACAAAAAUGGCACUGCCAACAUGAGCUGUCAUACUGCCAUAUGUCCGGAUUUUCCCGCACAUUUUGCAGAUUUCUGCCCAGACACUGCUGCCGACUGCAGUAUUCUGGAUAUGUCUGGGAAAUUCUGGAUGUAUGACAAAAAGGAUUCCUAUACUGUACUUUUAGGCAUAGAUUUCUGCCGAUGGUGAAAAAGCUCAAAAAGGUUCAGAAAAGGCACCCAAACUGAUUAAGAAGCAGGAGUAACUCUGGGGAGGCUAUAAAGUUUUGGGAUUUUUAGUUCAGAAAAAGUUGAGCAAGGGAUGGACACUGCAGAGGUUUAUAAAAAUGAAGCAUGGUAUGAUGAGAAGGUGGAUGAAGAGUAGCUUUUCUCCUUCGCUCAUAAAGCUAGAAUGAAAAGUUAUCCAAUAAAGUUGAAUGAUGGGAGAUUCAGAACAGACAAAACGGAGUACUUCUUCAUACAGUGCAGUUAAACAAUGCAGAUUUCACUUCCACUCAAUGUGACAAUGGCUAUAAAUUUAUAUGGCUUUAAAAAGGAGGACAGACAAAUUUGUGGAAGGCUAACCAUGACUAUUAGUAAUUAUGGCUGCAUACUACCUCUAGUAUCAGAGGCAGCAUGCCUCAAAAUACCAGUCACUGAGGAACACCACUGGACUGGGAUAGGGACCCGCCCCCUCAUGUCCUCUCUGUGAGCUUUUGAGAGACAUAGUUGGCCCUCUGGGAAGCAGGAUGCUGUACAAGAUCUAGAAAGGCUCUUCUGAAGACAAUGAAUUCCUAACAGAGGGGCAAUGAGAACCAUGACAUAAAGUGAAUAUCAAGUUCCUUGGGGAAGAGACCUGCCUUUUUUUGGUUCUCUGUAAAGCACCAUGUAGGUGUGAUGAUAGUGGGUUAUGGUAACAACUGCUUGCUGUUCAUAUAAUGACUUCAGUGCUGCAUUUUUAUUGUGCAAAAGAUUGUCUUGUAUUACUGAUUGCUUCAGUUUUUCCAAGCCACUUUGGAGGCAUGCUACAGAAAAGUGGGUAUAAAUAAUAAAUAUAAUUUCUAAAGUAUUAUUUUUUAAAUUCACGAUUUAGACAGUUCUUUGGCUGCAGGCAGGCUACCAACUAUGUACGGCUACGCUAUGCUUCCAGCAUAUGGCUGCAUGUAAAUGCGCAUAUACUUUUAUAGUUCAUAUAAACACAAACAUUGAUAGGGUUUGACAGGCCCUAGGCAGUCACUGACCCCUUUUCUUUGUUCUCAUAUUACACAAGGCCUUCAUUGAUGCAAACCUAAAGAUCACAUGGCAAUAACCUCUAUUGAAAUGAAUUCCUUUUUGUUGAGUAACUAUAACUGAGGUUCGGGGGUGUUAAUUUUCCUAAACUACAAGUAUCCAUUCCAUCUGUACAAGAGCGUUAUCUUUGAUUCCAGAGAGCCCAGUUUCCUCCCUUGAAGAAACAUAAAUGGUUGCAAAUUCUCUUUAUCACUUGAGCUUAUUUGUGAAGGAGGUUGAACACUGGCCUCACAUGACGCUGAGUCAUCAUCUCAGCCACAUCCCCAGUUCUCAGAACCUGUCCGCCUCCUGUUUAAAGGGACAAGCUACACUCCAAGCUCACUGUGGAAAACAGAUACCAAGCAUGCCCUUGCCACUGGUCCUUGUAGCCACCAUCUUACUAUUGACUGGUUUUGAUGAAGGCGGGCAGCUAUGUACUCCUCAGCAGGUUGGAUUUGGCCCCGGACCCUUCAGUUAAUGAUUCCUAGCCUAGGAGUACAAAUAUAGGUGAGCAAGUGAGCUAUGUUCGUUUUGCUGUGAACAUUGAUUCUUCUUCUAAUAUCUCCCAACUGUUCUCCUUUAUUCUUCAAAGGGAUCUUUCUUGGUUUAUUACUGUGCCCUUCACAGCAGGUGUGGAGAACCUGUGGCCCUCCAGAUGUCACUGAAUGAUAGCUCCCAUCAGCCCCAGCAAUCAUGGCCAAUUGCCAGGGACAAUGGGAGUUGUGGUCCAGCAACAUCUGGUGGACCAAUGGUUCCCCACACCCACUAAAAGAGGUUACAACAGUGGUGUAGGAGGUAUGUUUCCAUAGUUUCAUCCCAUAAUAUUGGCGUAAUGUUUAAAGGCCCAGCACAACGAGGCCAUGUGCAGGUCCUUCUCACAGAAUUGUUGCCCAUCUGGGACCAGAGUGGACACUGAGUUGAAUCAUUCAAAAUGUUGAAUGAUUAUCAAGCUUGAGGGACUGACUGUAUGAAGGCCGUGAUGCUUACUAAUACACUGCUUUCUUUCGCAGCUGGAAAGGUUCUGGUUUCUCAAUAGGCAAGAGAGAGGAAGGAAGGAGGCUAGUACAAAAGCAGCUGGUUUGCACCCUGGAGUACAGAUGUCAAGGCCUGGGGGAAAAGGGGAAAUUAGGCAAAAAAACCCUGCCUCAUAACUCUCAUCCGGGGUGACUCAGUCAGAGCCCUGACACUGGAGCAAGACGAAAUGGGUGUCUGCUCUGUAAUUCUGAGGAGCAGAGAGGAGUUGCCCAACACAUAGACGAUCAGAGGGAAUCAUAGCAGUGUUUUCAGGAAAGUUUUUCAUUUUCCUGUUUUGUUUUUUAAACGGCAUGGUGGCCAGUGCUGAAAUGGCAUCCUUGCUUCAAAAAUGCAACACCAAAGGAAAACGUGAGAAAUCGGUUACAACUCUUGUGUUUAUUACAUGAAAAUGCACUGUAAGAAUCUCUGUAAGCUACGGGUUACUGCACUUAUGGAAUCAACUACCACCAUUAGUAGUAUCAUCAUUUAUCUAUAGGUGGCUGAGGGCUAUCCCUGUACACUGCUUUUCCUGUGCAGACAUAAUAUUUUUGUACCGAAAACAUUUUCAGUCAAGCAAGCAAGCAAGCAAGCAAGCAAGCAAGCAAGCAAGCAAGCAAGCAAGCAAGCAAACAUCCCUUCAUGGAACAAUUACCAAGGGGGAUGAGAUACGUGCUAAAAGAACUGUGUUAAGAAUAAGCUGUACUUUCAUAGUUUGAUAAUAGACACAACUUU